GCUGGCGGUUCGUGCCCGGGCUGGGGCGCAGGGCCAGGGAGGAGGGUGGCGCCGGGGCCCAGGGACAUGGCGCGGCUGGACAGUGAGGAGGAGGCAGCGGAGGAUCGGGGGCAUCUCUACGCGAAUGGAUACCUUCUGGUCCUGGGGGAUGCGCCUGUCGCCAAGGUGGGCGCGGAGGCGCAGGACGGGCCCAAAGCCGGCUGCCUGGCCCUGAAUGGGGGCUCUCCGGACGGCCUUGAAGCCCCCUCGGGAGCCCUGGCCGGGCCGCAGACUCCGCUGGGCCUGGAGGAGGAGACCCAGGCCCGGCUGCUGCCCGCGGGCCCCGGCGAGGGGACCCCAGCGGCCGAGGACACCCCAGUGCCUCGAAUCGCGCUCUCUGCGCGGCGCUUCGCGGUGCUGCUGACCUUCAGCCUGUACUCGCUGGUGAACGCCUUUCAGUGGAUACAGUACAGCAUCAUCGCCAACGUCUUCGAGGGCUUCUACGGCGUGUCCUCGCUGCACAUCGACUGGCUGUCCAUGGUGUACAUGCUGGCCUACGUGCCCCUCAUUUUCCCGGCCACCUGGCUGCUGGACACCAGAGGCCUGCGGCUCACCGCGCUGCUGGGGUCCGGCCUCAACUGCCUGGGCGCCUGGGUCAAGUGCGGCAGCGUGCAGCAGCAUCUCUUCUGGGUCACCAUGCUGGGCCAGUGCCUGUGCUCCGUGGCCCAGGUGUUCAUCCUGGGCUUGCCCUCCCGCAUUGCCUCUGUGUGGUUCGGGCCCAAGGAGGUGUCCACAGCUUGUGCCACUGCUGUGCUGGGCAAUCAGCUCGGAGUUGCAGUUGGCUUUUUGCUACCACCAGUUUUAGUGCCCAACACCCAGAAUAACACGAAUCUCCUGGCUUGCAAUAUCAGCACCAUGUUUUAUGGGACUUCAGCUGUCUCCACGCUUUUAUUCAUUUUAACAAUCAUUGCAUUCAAAGAAAAACCUCAGUGUCCUCCGAGUCAGGCUCAAGCAGCUCUCCGAGACAGUCCCCCUGAAGACUACUCCUAUAAGAAAUCAAUAAGGAGCCUGUUUAAAAAUCUUCCUUUUGUCCUUCUGUUGAUCACUUACGGUAUCAUGACUGGGGCAUUCUAUUCAGUCUCAACACUAUUAAAUCAAAUGAUAUUGACACAUUAUCAGGGUGAAGAAGUGAAUGCUGGAAGGAUCGGGCUAACACUGGUGGUAGCUGGCAUGGUGGGUUCCAUUAUUUGUGGCUUAUGGCUGGAUUAUACCAAAACUUACAAACAGACUACCCUGAUAGUUUACAUUUUGUCUUUUGUUGGAAUGGUUGUAUUCACAUUGACACUAGACCUUGGACACCUCCUCAUUGUGUUUGUUACUGGAGGGGCGCUCGGUUUCUUCAUGACUGGCUACCUUCCCUUGGGUUUUGAAUUUGCUGUUGAAAUCACUUACCCUGAGUCUGAAGGCACUUCAUCCGGUCUUCUUAAUGCGGCUGCCCAGAUAUUUGGAAUUCUGUUUACGUUGGCUCAAGGCAAACUCAUAUCAGACUAUGGUCCUCUGGCAGGGAACAUUUUCCUCUGUGCCUGGAUAUUUGUUGGCAUCAUUUUAACAGCAUUAAUCAAGUCUGAUCUGAGAAGACACAGUAUAAAUAUAGGAAUUAAAAAUGAUAUUAAAGCUUUGCCUGUUGAUAGUCCCACAGAUCAAGAACCAAAAGCUGUUAUGUUGUCCAAGCAGUCAGAAUCAGCAAUUUGAGAUGAAAAGGAAAAGCUAAAUAAUGUCCAAAUAUCAUGCGAUAACUGGGAUACAAUGGAAUGAUCCUUGGGAAAAUAUGUGAGCAGUGAGGCUUGGUGUAGAUCAUGGGGAGUGGACACGUACUUGACAAUUACUAGAUGAACUCCAGGUGCACCAUGACUUUUGUGAAAUAAGCCUGUGUGUUAUUUGGAAGUUGCAUUUCUCAUCCCACCAUCCUACCUUCAGAUCCAGGGGGACCGUAUGUGUCCUGCUUAAUCGCAUGUAAUCCUACUCCUGUGGUGCAGAGGGGCAUGUAUGUUCCCACAUAGUGUUAUUCAAAAGUCACAUUACCUACCAAAAAUUCAGAAAACACUCAGUGAUUCAGCAUGCAUUCCAUUAAUGAAAAAGCAAAAAUCAACAACAUUUUACAAGCAGAAAAUAAUUCAUUCAUGAAACAGUGUCAUGUAGGAGUACAUGCUGUUUAUAUAUAAAACUAUUUAAUGGAACCAAAUAUACAGUAUAUUCCUAAUUGGCUACUUUUCCAUGUGUUGACCACCCGCCUCAGCACAUGAAUACAAUAUAACGACAUGAUGCUAGUAACCCACCAAACGGCAGUUUCAGGGUCACACUAGCAGAUGGCCUCUAAGAUUGUUUCCAUUUCUUACAUUCUUGUUACAAAAGGCUUUGUAACAACAGGUACUGUCUAUGGCCACAAGAUAGUUUUUCUCUGUUAAAGAGAAAAAGAUGACUAUUCUGGGUACCAAUUGACUUUGAUCUUGGAGUUAUGAUGUAGCUAAUAAAAGGAACCCACGCACUGGCUCAUUUAUCUUGAGUUCUUCUUUCCGCUGCUUUUUUAUCAUGGUAGCAAUGCUACACAAUAUUUUUUCACUCCAACUUGACAUAGAGCAAUUUUGUACCCAUUGCCUUUUUUUAAAUACAUAAAUUUCUAGUAAAAUGUCAUCAUAUAUGUUACUGACUUUUUAACAGUUUUCUGAACCACACGCUAUACUUUUGUCUUAAAGAUUAUUGAGAUUAAAAACAAACAAGCAAAAAUCUAGUAAUUUUGGGAGUCUCUGGGUGGCCCCAACAGUUAAGCAUUCGACUACUAGCUAAAAGAUUGGUUGUUUGAGCCCUCCCAGAGGUACCUUGGAAAACAGGCCUGGCGAUCUGCUUCUAAAAGGUCACAGCCUUGAAAACCCUAUGGCAUGCAGUUCUACUCUUCAUACAUGGGGUCGCCAUGAGUCAGAAUCAACUGAGCACCAACUGGUGGUAUGGUAACUUCAGAUAGCCUGGAUGUUCCCAUUUAAUAGAGCCAUCUUGAAAUGCUAACUGUUCGAAAUCUGCAGUGUCAUUUUUUAUGACCGUUUUCUUCUGAGGAAUAGUAUACCCAGUGAUGUGCUCCAUCAGUACUUGGGGGAGUGGAUUCUUUCUUUCACCACAGACUACAAAGUCACCAUAGUGUUGGGACAGCCUGCUCACUUAGAUGCUCAGGGAAAGGAGAAGAAGGCCAGACGUGUUUCUACAGUGCCUACCUCUGCCUUUGUGCACACUGAGAACUUAAGUGUUGUUGAUAUCCUGACUCUCUUAAGCUGAUAGGACUAUCUCUAGAGUAAUGACGUUGAACUGCCAUGAUGUUUAUGUUAUGUCCACACACGCACACAAAGGCUGAUCAGACAAUGAAUGCCCUUGAAGCGAAUUAAUAAUUCUGAUGUUGGCAGAGUAUGUGCAUUGAUUUAUGUUGAGACUAUAAUGUUCUGUGUAAUUGAAUGACAAUAAGUUGUGUAGAAUCUGGUCCUGAGAAUGUGCUACUAGAAGAACUUAAUUGUGCGUCAGGAAUUCUGAGUCCAUGUCCUAGACCUCUUUCUGGUUGUCCCUUAACCCCCAGACAAGUCAUUGAGCCUCUCUGGACAGCGUUUUCCUCAUCCAUAUAAUGAAUGUGUUUAAUUUGAUCUCAAAAAAUUUUUUUUUAAUCUUAACUGCCAUUCAUCAAGGGGUAGACCAAGUCAUGUUACCACAGGAACUUACAUCUAGCUAGAGAAAAAUCCCCUGAGCAAGUCCGUUGCACCCACAAAACGAGUCAUACUUUCAAUCUCGUUCAGCCUCUUUAUUCAGUUGCUGAGAGCCCAGGCAGAAUGUGUCCAAGAAUUGCACUUUUUUGGCAUUUACACCACGGGUCUUAUGGCCAAAAAUAUAUUUUAAGGUUCCUCCCAAAAUAAUCGUGUUUUUAUUUUUGAACUCUCAAUGUUGUUUAAAAUAAUCGUGUGCUUGUUGAAUUCCUGACACUUUGCAAAUCACAGAUAAAAACCUGAAUACUGGUUUUCUGAAAAGCAUACAUAUAUGUUAUGCAUACAUUUCUUUAUUGACUAGAAAAGAGGUGAAAUAAUGUGGCAAAAUGCAAGACCAGUUGGUGGUGUUCCUGCCUUUUGAGUUGGAGUUGUCUAUAACGCGCCAAACAAGAACAUGACGUCACUCUGUUUCAUGUCUUUGGAAGAUGGAGUUGCUGUCGUCACUGUGUAAAUUUUUGUAAAAUGGUUCUAGGAAAGAAACUGGAUGCUUCCAAAAAGCAUUGCAUUUAUAAAUAUUGCAAGUAUAGCUUUUGCCUUUUGAGAACCUUGGAGAAAUGUCUUUAAAAAUAAAGAUUUUGUGUAAAUUCUGAUUAUUUCCAGAAGAAUGCUUUUCUGGCUUAAGUCUUUUUUUGUGUGUGUGUAUUCUAAUUGUUUAUCUGAUUGUCCUUCAGUAGUUCAAAGUUGAAAUAAAUUUAUUUUUUUAAUGUUAA
Molecule: RNA transcript, 4486 nt
Organism: Loxodonta africana (African savanna elephant)
Lineage: Eukaryota; Metazoa; Chordata; Mammalia; Proboscidea; Elephantidae
Gene: FLVCR1
Gene name: FLVCR choline and heme transporter 1
Exons: 11
Source: RefSeq, a predicted model, not a curated record